UGAUGGGCUGCGAUCACAGUAGCUGGGAGCCACAGCUUCCCCCAUUAGCAGAUCCACGCACCGACCGGCAGUCAUCUCGCCACCUGCUGCCUCCCCGCACAGCAUCGCUCUUCAGUUCCAGUGGCUGUCGGUACUCUCCGCACCCCGGGUUGCUCACCGAGUGGUCCAGUCGACUCAGCUCCCAGUCGCCCGUACCGGCCGUAACGUCCACACUACUCCUUACACCUUCUGUUACCCUUCCUGAUUAAAAAUCUUUGUUUAUCUGAA
Monopterus albus (swamp eel) is the source of this 267-nucleotide long non-coding RNA. RefSeq lists it as uncharacterized. The record is from RefSeq and is a predicted model, not a curated record. Lineage: Eukaryota; Metazoa; Chordata; Actinopteri; Synbranchiformes; Synbranchidae. The transcript has 2 exons.